This 253-nucleotide ribosomal RNA is filed under the name uncultured bacterium. RNAcentral describes it as "partial 16S ribosomal RNA". It matches the Rfam family "Bacterial small subunit ribosomal RNA", at positions 524 to 776 of the family's 1533-position model. The record is from RNAcentral.
UACGGAGGGUGCAAACGUUGCUCGGAAUCAUUGGGCGUAAAGCGCACGUAGGCGGCUUCUUAAGUCAGGGGUGAAAUCCUGGAGCUCAACUCCAGAACUGCCCUUGAUACUGAGGAGCUCGAGUCCGGAAGAGGUGAGUGGAACUCCGAGUGUAGAGGUGAAAUUCGUAGAUAGUCGGAAGAACACCAGUGGCGAAGGCGGCUCACUGGUCCGGUACUGACGCUGAGGUGCGAAAGCAUGGGUAGCGAACAGG